This 255-nucleotide ribosomal RNA is filed under the name uncultured bacterium. RNAcentral describes it as "partial 16S ribosomal RNA". It matches the Rfam family "Bacterial small subunit ribosomal RNA", at positions 524 to 776 of the family's 1533-position model. The record is from RNAcentral.
UACGGGGGGAGCAAGCGUUGUUCGGAUUUACUGGGCGUAAAGGGCGCGUAGGCGGUCGUGACAAGUCACUUGUGAAAUCUCCGGGCUUAACCCGGAAAGGUCAACUGAUACUGUGCGACUAGAGUGCGGAAGGGGCAACUGGAAUUCUCGGUGUAGCGGUGAAAUGCGUAGAUAUCGAGAGGAACACCUGCGGCGAAGGCGGGUUGCUGGGCCGACACGUGACGCUGAUGCGCGAAAGCCAGGGGAGCGAACGGG